Molecule: long non-coding RNA, 789 nt
Filed under: Rattus norvegicus (Norway rat)
Lineage: Eukaryota; Metazoa; Chordata; Mammalia; Rodentia; Muridae
Description: long non-coding RNA NONRATT004755
Source: RNAcentral
ACAAAACCACCAGGUGGCGGUACCCCUUUCAUCCCAGCACUUGGGAGGCAGAGGCAAGUAUUUGGAUCUCUGAGUUUUUGGCCUACAUGGUCCACAGAGUGAGUUCCAAGACAGCCAAGGCUACACAGAGAAACCCUGUCCAGAAAAACCAAAAACCAACCAAACAAACAAAAAGCAAAAAGAAAAAGAAAACAAAAAACAAACAAAAAAGGAAAUAUUUUGUGAAUAAACUUAAGCCAAUCCUAGUGACGAUAAAUAUUAAUUCGGAUAAAUUUGGAAACACAGAAGUCAGUCAUAUACUGGGGUUAUAAUGGCUAAUUUCUUACAGUUUUGUAAAGUGGUACAUUUCAAUGAAGCUAUGCAAGCCAAACUUGAUUAGCAAGCUAAUAUAAAAUCAGUCAGGACCUGUUUCUGUAAGCUAUAGGCUCUGGUCAACUCUUAGGAAAUAGCACACGUAUCUAAGCAUUUCUUAGGUAUACUUACUUACAUUUAGUUGUGUUUUAGUUUAUGAAAGCUGUCAAAAUAAAAUACUACAAUUUAAAUAUUACUGUCACAGUCUGGAAGAGGAGGUCAAAUCAAGCAAUGGCCGGGUUGCUUUUUUAUUUUAUUUUAUUGUUUUCUGUCCUGAAGCUCUUCUUCUUUGUUCGUAGGUCAUUGUCCUUUUCCUGCUUGUCCACAUAGCUAUUGCUGUGUGAAUAGAGUGGUAGCUCUAGUGUCUCUUACAGCCCUGGUGGGUCAGUGCACUCCCUGUUAAUUAUAGUCUUAAAAACUAUUGCCCGGGUUGGGGAU